This 549-nucleotide ribosomal RNA is filed under the name uncultured Glomus. RNAcentral describes it as "SSU rRNA". It matches the Rfam family "Eukaryotic small subunit ribosomal RNA", at positions 548 to 1098 of the family's 1831-position model. The record is from RNAcentral. Lineage: Eukaryota; Fungi; Glomeromycota; Glomeromycetes; Glomerales; Glomeraceae.
UUGGAGGGCAAGUCUGGUGCCAGCAGCCGCGGUAAUUCCAGCUCCAAUAGCGUAUAUUAAAGUUGUUGCAGUUAAAAAGCUCGUAGUUGAAUUUCGAGAUCAGUACGCUGGUCGUGCCUUCGGUAUGCACUGGUGUCACUGGUUUCUCCCUUCUGAAGAACCGUCAUGUCAUUAAGUUGGUGUGGCGGGGAAUCAGGACUGUUACUUUGAAAGAAUUAGAGUGUUUAAAGCAGGCUCGCGCUUGAAUACAUUAGCAUGGAAUAAUGAAAUAGGACGUUUGACCCUAUUUUGUUGGUUUCUAGGAUCGACGUAAUGAUUAAUAGGGAUAGUUGGGGGCAUUAGUAUUCAAUUGUCAGAGGUGAAAUUCUUGGAUUUAUUGAAGACUAACUACUGCGAAAGCAUUUGCCAAGGAUGUUUUCAUUAAUCAAGAACGAAAGUUAGGGGAUCGAAGACGAUCAGAUACUGUCGUAGUCUUAACCAUAACCUAUGCCGACUAGGGAUCGGAUGAUGUUAAUUUUUUAAUGACUCAUUCGGCGCCUUACGGGAAAC